AAACUUUCAACAACGGAUCUCUUGGCUCUGGCAUCGAUGAAGAACGCAGCGAAAUGCGAUAAGUAAUAUGAAUUGCAGAAUCUAGUGAAUCAUCGAAUCUUUGAACGCACAUUGCGCCCCUCGGUAUUCCGGGGGGCAUGCCUGUCCGAGCGUCAUUA
Molecule: ribosomal RNA, 158 nt
Filed under: Toninia pennina
Lineage: Eukaryota; Fungi; Ascomycota; Lecanoromycetes; Lecanorales; Ramalinaceae
Description: 5.8S ribosomal RNA
Rfam family: 5.8S ribosomal RNA
About the family: 5.8S ribosomal RNA (5.8S rRNA) is a component of the large subunit of the eukaryotic ribosome. It is transcribed by RNA polymerase I as part of the 45S precursor that also contains 18S and 28S rRNA.
Source: RNAcentral